GCCAACGUAGCUCAAUGGCAGAGCAGGCGCUUCGUAAGCGUCAGGUUGCAGGUUCAAGUCCUGCCGUUGGCU
This 72-nucleotide transfer RNA is filed under the name Candidatus Nealsonbacteria bacterium CG07_land_8_20_14_0_80_40_10. RNAcentral describes it as "tRNA-Thr". It matches the Rfam family "tRNA". From Rfam's summary of the family: Transfer RNA (tRNA) molecules are approximately 80 nucleotides in length. Their secondary structure includes four short double-helical elements and three loops (D, anti-codon, and T loops). The record is from RNAcentral. RNAcentral also lists the same sequence under 2 other names. Lineage: Bacteria; Candidatus Nealsoniibacteriota.